Ictidomys tridecemlineatus (thirteen-lined ground squirrel) is the source of this 443-nucleotide non-coding RNA. Lineage: Eukaryota; Metazoa; Chordata; Mammalia; Rodentia; Sciuridae. The record is from RefSeq and is a predicted model, not a curated record.
GGGAAAUCCCGCCUCUUGGCCUGGGGCCACGCCCCGGAAGGCGAGGGAAGUUCGUGGCUGACCAGCUCCCGGAUCCACUCAGCCAGCCGGAGGGCGGGGUGGGUGUUGAUUGUCAGGUCCUACAAGAUCUGCUACCAGGAGGACCCUUACCUCUGAUCUACUCAACCUUCUCUACCUUGCUCAACCUACUUUGGUCACAGUGACACUUGAUGUUAUUCUAACAAGCUAAGCAAGCAUCUUUGUGAAGAAAUUGAAAUGGCCAUUAAACCUUUUGACUUCAUGACCAAGAAUUUUUUUUAAGUAAAGAAACACACACAUAAAAAAAAAAAAGAAUCCAGGCUGAUUCCCAGAUUAAUGGCCUCCAAGGAAAUUUGAAAGGAAGCCUGAAGACUUCUUACUUUGCUGUGCAUCUGCUUCCUGGUCUUGUGUAAGUCCCAAUUCAC